RNAcentral lists this unclassified non-coding RNA (145 nucleotides) under soil metagenome. RNAcentral describes it as "partial internal transcribed spacer 1". The record is from RNAcentral.
UAAUAAGCGUUUUAUGGCACUUUUUAAAUCCAUAUCCACCUUGUGUGCAAUGUCAGUCGAUCUUCUUCAUGGAGAUUAGACCAAACAUCAACCUUUAUCUUUUAAGCACUUUGUCUGAAAAAUAUAUGAAUAAACAAUUCAAAUA